Molecule: ribosomal RNA, 250 nt
Filed under: uncultured bacterium
Lineage: Bacteria
Description: partial 16S ribosomal RNA
Rfam family: Bacterial small subunit ribosomal RNA
Source: RNAcentral
CACGCCGUAAACGUUGAGUGCUGGGUGUUGGUGGUAUCGACCCCAUCAGCGCCGUAGCUAACGCGUUAAGCACUCCGCCUGAGGACUACGGCCGCAAGGUUAAAACUCAAAGGAAUUGACGGGGGCCCGCACAAGCAGCGGAGCGUGUGGUUUAAUUCGAUGCAACACGAAGAACCUUACCAGGGCUUGACAUGCGCGUGGUAGGGAGGUGAAAGCCGAUCGACCCCUUCGGGGGAGCGCGCACAGGUGC